GCUGGGCAAAGUGGCACAUGCCUGUAAUCCCAGCCACUCGGAAGGCUGAGGCAGGAGAAUCGCAGGUUCAAAGCCAGCCUCAACAACAUCGAGGUGCUAAGCAACUCAGUGAGACCCUGUGUCUA
This 125-nucleotide small RNA is filed under the name Marmota monax (woodchuck). The record is from RNAcentral. Lineage: Eukaryota; Metazoa; Chordata; Mammalia; Rodentia; Sciuridae.